This 626-nucleotide ribosomal RNA is filed under the name Steinernema sp. CR7.3TH. Its description in RNAcentral is "eukaryotic LSU rRNA". It matches the Rfam family "Eukaryotic large subunit ribosomal RNA", at positions 181 to 814 of the family's 3401-position model. RNAcentral also lists the same sequence under 11 other names. Lineage: Eukaryota; Metazoa; Nematoda; Chromadorea; Rhabditida; Steinernematidae. The record is from RNAcentral.
CGAAUUCUCUUUGACUAGGGAUCCAAAGAGGGUGCUAGACCCUUACGCAUUGUUGACUUUUCGUACGCGUUCGUUUCUUGGAGUAGGGUUGUUUUGGAUCGCAGCCCAAAGUAGGUGGUAUACUUCAUCUAAAGCUAAAUACGACUACGAAUCCGAUAGCAAACAAGUACCGUGAGGGAAAGUUGCAAAGUACUUUGAAGAGAGAGUUCAAGAGGACGUGAAACCGGUAGGGUGGAAGCAGAUAAAGUUGACGAACGUGUGUCGUAUUCAGAACUACAAUUUGUGGUUUGUUUUUACGAUCGAUGUGGGCUGGCGUCUUUGGUUAACUUAGUGUCUGGCGGCAAUGGUGACCCUGCGGAGGGAUAAUCGGUUGUCGUGCGAUGCUUGGUAUGGCUAGAGGUUCGCUGGUCUUAUAGUCAUCGCUUUAUCUGACCCGUCUUGAAACACGGACCAAGGAGUGUAGCGCUUACGCGAGUCUUAGAGUGUGUCAAAACUUUGAGGCGUAACGAAAGUAAAUGUGGAUUUAUUCACUGACUUGGGAUGCGUUGUCUUUUUUGGAUAGCGUUGGACCAUGGUUUUAUCGUAAUCGCUUGCGAUGCGGUGAAAAUAGAGCGUAAGCGGUGCGA